AAUCCCUCCAUUCAGACACAAGCUUUUAUGCUCUCUUCUGGGCAGCCCGUGGCUGGUUGCGGGUUGUAUAACAGUUAAAGAGAGCUACAUACAUAUCUAGGGAGAACAAGUUUGCAUAGCUGUGGCCAACCCCUCUACACCCCUUGCCCAUAACUGCCAGAGCCAACGGAAAGUCUGGUGGAAUUUGGAAACGUCAACAUCCUCCGCCUUGGGUGGUGCAUUAUGCAUUAGCCCCCAAGAGGCUCGUCACUAAUGCAACAACAACUAAAUACUUACAUGCACAUGUACAAAUGGAUGUGUAGAGGAAAAGAGAGUGCGUGUGUACGUUCGUGUGCGCCUGUGGCCUUAUAACUGUUAUAAAAGCCUCCUGACACACACCAACAACCCAUUCACACACGCCUUCCUCUUACCAUGAAGCAACCAUAAAGGAGGGCCUGUCGUCGGCAGCGGUCCUCGGGUAAAUUCCCCCCGAUGUCAGUGCUUGUUUGCUUGUCGAGGAAAGUUGUGCGUGGACAAAUUUGUUUUUCAAGUUUAACCCUAUGUGCGCCAAAAAAUGAAGUGGUGCAGUUUAUGCCGCAAGGUCGACGAUGGUGUGAGAUUGGUUCAUGUACCGAAACGUUUAGAACAAAGAAAAUUGUGGGAGCAAAUUCUGGACUGCAGCCUAACUGUAAACUCGAAAAUUUGCGAUUCACAUUUCCAUGCUUCACAGUGGAUGUCGUUAACUAGGAAAGGGCAGUUAUGUAAAAGAAGGCGACUGAACGAUGAUGCUGUUCCGCAAAAAGAGACAGAGCCUCAACAAGAAAUUGUUAAAUUAGACUUUUCCCACGCGAGUACGCAAACAGAGGACAAAGUGAUAUCAUGCAAUCAUGCACUACGUGUGGAGAACGAGAGCCUGAGGAAACAGAACCGUCAAAUGCAGACGGAAUUGCAUUCGUUACGUCAGCAACUUGAGGACCAUAAGCAAUUGGAAACCAGUCUAAGAGCCAUUUUCACCGAGACUCAAAUAAAGAUUUUAAAGAACAGAGGCAAAAGAGCCGUAUUUAAUGCAA
Drosophila guanche is the source of this 1049-nucleotide long non-coding RNA. RefSeq lists it as uncharacterized. The transcript is spliced from 3 exons. The record is from RefSeq and is a predicted model, not a curated record. NCBI's taxonomy places the organism in Eukaryota, Metazoa, Arthropoda, Insecta, Diptera, Drosophilidae.